GCAAACCCAAAUCGCAAAAUCCCUAAUUCCCCAAAUCGCAAAUCCGAAACCCAAAGGUAUAAGCAGCGACGCUGCCACCGUCACCGUCGGCUAGCACCCACUGUCAGUCCGUCACCGUCGCCCCUCGGCACUCGGCAGUCGGCAUCAUCUCUUCUCGUUUGCAUUUGCUGACUCAGUUUUGCUCAGUUGCGGCUGUGACGGGAGUCGUUGGUGCAGCGGCAGCAGCGCAGUGCAGCCCCCUCCGGCGCCAUCGUUUGCAAUUUUGUGAGUUGUUUACAGCUUAAUUAUUGAAUGUAUAUGAGUUGUGUAUGUAUUUUUCUUUCAUUUGAAUAGUUGGUACGCGGCAUCACUUGCAAGUUUGUCGAUGCCAUUGUUUUCAUAUAUACUUUACCCUUAUCUACUAUAGCCGAUAGUCUAUCUCAUUCUCAUAGAAUAUGUAUGCAUCUUGUGGGUUCCAAUUCUUGCAUUAAAGGAACAAAUUGUUGCCAUUACUGGUGUAAUAUUGCUGACAUUACUGGUGUAAUAUUGCUGCCAUUACUGGUGUAAUAUUGCAGCAACAGCCGAUAGUCUAUCUCCACAGGAUGUUUCCUUUUUUAAUGUUAGUCUCAUUCUUUACUUUAGGGUAAGCACAUUUGUAUUCUUGCUUUUUAGGUCUCUUGAGGAUUGUUCACAUUACUGUUAUCAAAUAUUGACCAAGUAGCAGAAUUUGCAGCAACUUACCCUGCUUCAAGUUAUGGGCUCAUUGAAACAGGGCUCAUUGAAAGACAAGUUAUAAUGUUAUAUUACAACUGGUUAUUUGUAUGAUUUUGCUUCUGUUGGCUGUGUGAAUCUCUCUGCCCAGCUUGAUUUGAUUUUGUUAUAAGUUUGUAUUUAACUAUUUUCUAAUUUAAAUUAGAAUAGUCCUACCAAUUAAGAAUAAUCACAAACCCGUAUUAUACCCUUGAAGAUGUUCUGAAUAAUAUAUGCUCCAGAUUUUCUAUGUAAUAAUAUUAAUAUGUGCCUAUCAAUAAUUAAUUAGAUCAAUUUGCGGUACUCUAGUAGUUAAUCGAAUUUCACGGUUUUGGUGUUACAAUCAAUUUGCGGUACUCUAAUUAAUUGAAUUUCAUGGUUUUGGUGUUACAG
This 1122-nucleotide long non-coding RNA is filed under the name Citrus maxima (pomelo). Its description in RNAcentral is "long non-coding RNA (CMAX_LNC003043)". The record is from RNAcentral. Lineage: Eukaryota; Viridiplantae; Streptophyta; Magnoliopsida; Sapindales; Rutaceae.